GGCUGAUGGAUAACUCAGUUGGUUAUAGCAUGGUGCUGAUAAUGCCAAGGUUGCAGGUUCUACCCCUGUAUGGGACA
This is a non-coding RNA of Podarcis lilfordi (Lilford's wall lizard), 77 nucleotides long. The record is from the annotation of a GenBank genome assembly. NCBI's taxonomy places the organism in Eukaryota, Metazoa, Chordata, Lepidosauria, Squamata, Lacertidae.